RNAcentral lists this unclassified non-coding RNA (577 nucleotides) under Onopordum acanthium. RNAcentral's name for it is "partial external transcribed spacer". Lineage: Eukaryota; Viridiplantae; Streptophyta; Magnoliopsida; Asterales; Asteraceae. The record is from RNAcentral.
UGGCUUAAUCUUUGAGACAAGCAUAUGACUACUGGCAGGAUCAACCAGGUAGCAUUCCUCCUCGACGUCGCCAACCAUGUACAGACAAGCCGAAACAUGACCGACGGUCGUGUUUUAGAGAAGCGAGAACGCUUAACGAGGGCAAAAACAAGAUCAAGAUAGAUCCCAUGCCCACAUCAGGUUCCAUAUCCAAGAGUCCAAGCAAUGAUACAUGAGCCACAUCAUCAAUGCAAUGCAUCGAUGGCAUGGAUCACAAAGACCGCCUUGAGGUUCAUCCCACGCCACAUGAGCGACGCAUGACGAAAAGAGACAUCAAUUGAUCCAUAGGAUACCAUCGAUUAGGUAUGCAACACAGGAAACCCACUAUAUGCUCAAGGCGAUACAAGCCUUGACGCACAACUGAAGAGGUAUGCACGCAUGGACGUUGCUGCACAAGCAGUCAUCCAACCACCCGUAACAUACCAAACACCACUCAUGCACCUUCCCGGUCGUCAUUCCCCGAAACCGCCCAACUAGUGACCACCCGCCCAGCAUCAGAUGCAAGCAAGCAACCAAAAGCCAAAAACAGCCCCAAGAA